AUGCGUGCUAAGAAAGAUUGCUUUGUAAGAGCGUGUUCUUCUAAUUUUCAUGAUAAUAAUGAUGAAGAUCUAAAAGUUAUUGAUGUGUCUCCUAUUAAAUCAUCGUUUUGCAAUAUUAAGCUUAAUAAUGAUGGGACCGGAGAUGAGUCAACUUUAGUAAAAAAACAUUCCAAUGAUUUGGAGUAUUUUGAUCUUGAUGCUAAAAUUGGUAAAAGUGGGAUUGGAGAGAUUAAAACUUUACAUAACAAUGAACCCACUACUUCGGAUUUCAAGGAAUUUAAUUAUGAUAAUUGUUCCUUAAUAGAUUGUAUUUCCUUGUUGCAAUCCGUGUUGAAUUCUCCUCAUGCUUAUAGUCAAAAUAAAGCUUUUACUAAACAUAUCGUUGAUGCUUUGAUGCAAUCUUAUGAAGAAAAACUUGAAUUAGAAGUUUCUAUACUUAGUGGCUGUGACCGUUGA
RNAcentral lists this ribosomal RNA (456 nucleotides) under Triticum aestivum (bread wheat). Its description in RNAcentral is "partial small subunit ribosomal RNA". The record is from RNAcentral. Lineage: Eukaryota; Viridiplantae; Streptophyta; Magnoliopsida; Poales; Poaceae.